Molecule: transfer RNA, 74 nt
Filed under: Orbicella faveolata
Lineage: Eukaryota; Metazoa; Cnidaria; Anthozoa; Scleractinia; Merulinidae
Description: tRNA-Ile
Rfam family: tRNA
About the family: Transfer RNA (tRNA) molecules are approximately 80 nucleotides in length. Their secondary structure includes four short double-helical elements and three loops (D, anti-codon, and T loops).
Source: RNAcentral
ACUCCCGUAGCACAGUCGGUUAGAGCGUCGUACUUAUAUUGCGAAGGUCGGGGGUUCGAGUCCCCCCGGGAGCA